This 21-nucleotide non-coding RNA is filed under the name Arabidopsis thaliana (thale cress). Lineage: Eukaryota; Viridiplantae; Streptophyta; Magnoliopsida; Brassicales; Brassicaceae. The record is from RNAcentral.
CUAUUCAAAAUCAUUAAGGGU